Molecule: long non-coding RNA, 2369 nt
Organism: Peromyscus leucopus (white-footed mouse)
Lineage: Eukaryota; Metazoa; Chordata; Mammalia; Rodentia; Cricetidae
Exons: 4
Source: RefSeq, a predicted model, not a curated record
CCCGCCUCCUGUCAACCGGAGCGCGCUGGUCAGGUGGCCCCCAGCCCGCGGCCCGAGCUGGGCUCCUGCCUCCAGGUCUCUCUCCCAGGCUCUGGCAUCCUGUCUCAGGCAGCUCGCCUUUCCGAUUGUGCCGGAGACAUAGCCCCUAGCCGAGCUGUAGUGCGUCGGCAGAUGUGAGGAGGUAGUGGGUCCCAAUAAGCCCGCGCACGCCAUCAUACAACGCUGGGGCCCAGUGACCGACCCGGGUCUUUUGCUUCCCGGGUCCGCACCUCCUGAGCAUCUAGUGUAUAGAGGCUGGCCUCGUGCAGAGGAAAGCAGCAGGCUGAGAAGAGGCACGGGCCUGUUUCGCAGGAGUUUUUGCCUCCCUGGGCCAACGUGAACCUUACCGCGAGAUUCCCACCACCGCUGUGGAUGCUAGAGGUGGUUACCAUCCUAGGAUGGCUUGAUGCCAAAGGCCCAGGGCCAGUCGUUCAUGAAAGCCUCUAGCAAAUGCUUGUUUCCUUAAAUUUUUCUCUCUGUGAUGGCCGGUCUCGCUUGGUUGGUUCUUGGAUUCUUAUAUUCCCAGAAAGAACAUAAACCAGUAGUGAAUUCUUCAUAGAUUUUUGAUGAGAGGAAGAGGUUUCUCCCUCUUUUCAUCUUAAAGUAACAAACUACAAGAAGAAAUAUACCCGUGACCAUGGCUUCUCAAAUAAAGACCCAGAAACCAGGGUCAGUUAUUCAGCAAACAGCUAACCCCAACACUGGGGAAACCAAGUUGGCAGUUGCCAAAGACUGGUCAUGUUCUGGGUGGUCUCGGAAAGUUUGAAGACAUUAAUUCUUACUGCACAAAACAGUGUUAGAAUCAGUUCCACCAGGCAGCCCCAGGGGCCUUCCUAGAGAGAGGAGCCAGCAGGCAAGGCUGCCCAAGGAAGAGACAGGCAAGUGGCCAGUGGAAAACAUGUUUUUUCCCCCUAAUAGUUGGGCAUUUCUGUGGCUCUGAAAGUAAACUUGUUUGCUUCAUUUCAACAAUAGGGAGAGAAAUCCUGCUUUGAAAAUGUCACCCGGCAUAAAAAUACAUUUGCAACGGGGGGGGGGGAGGGGCAAUUAAGGCCCACCCAGAAAAAAUAUUCUUCUCCUGCAUAUUUUAAGUGUGGUGUUUCCCAGUGUGGGUUUGCCUCAUUCUAUAGAUGGCUAUCAAAAUUUAAAUGCAAUACAAUUGGGAUGUUUCAAUUUGAGUCAUAGUCUGUCUAUCCUAGGAAACUGACAAAAGAAUUCUAUAGAGUUGUUUUAUACAGCAAAUAAAUAAUCCCUCCUCUCCAUCUUCUUUCCUGUUUAGGUUGGGUGGGGUUAGUAUUAGAGGAUGAAUCUGAUUUGGCUUAAAAUCAAGUAUCACUAAAAUCAUCCUUCCAGAUCCAAAAUAGAGAUCUCAGGCGCCCAAUAUUCUACAGACCUUACUUCCUCCAGAGGUUGCCGGGCGGUUGUGCAGAUCUACCAAGAACCAGAUGCAGAAACAAGUUUCCCUCCUACUGCAGUUCUGCCACUUCUCCAAGACCGCAUUAAGGACUGCAGGUACUUUGACUGUCUUGCAUACUCCAGGAAAGGAGUAUCUGUACAGCCUUCUACUUCUAGAGACCAGAGAGUCAUGACAUCAAGAAGACUCCCAGCUCUCACGUAGCCAGCAGAGGCUUUAGAAACUGAUGAUCCUAGAUGGACAAGCAAAAAAUGAUUAAAAUUCGAUAAACUAGAAGGACCCAAAGAAACAGGGAAUUGUUGGGGCAAAAUGAGACUAUUUCUUAGAAGAAAACGCAGUGGAGAAGUGAAAGUGGCAUGCAUCUAAGCAACAAAAGAAAAGGAGCACCGUUCAGGUCAGAGUGCAAACAGAGGAACUCAAGCAUCAGUUUGGAUGGAUGGUUUAAAACAUUCAAGUAGAGCUGGGCAUCAUGGGCAGGCCUGUAAGCACAUCAAUCUGGUGGCAGAGGCAUCUCUGUGAGUUCAAGGCCAGCCUGGGCUAUAUAUUGAUUUCCAGGACAGCAAGGACUACAUAGAGAGACCUUGUCUCAAAAACAAACAAACAAAUGAAACAAAAUAAAAAGAAAAAAGUUUAAUCAUGAAGAAUUUAAGACUUAUUUGAAGUCUUCCAGUGAGACAAAUGGCAAGGCCUCCUGGGCAGAAUCUAAGGUCAUGUGACCAACUCAUCUUACUUGUAUUAGGUUUUCCCAGGAAAUCUGAUGGCUCUUUGUCUAUCAUCAAGUCUAGAGCCCCCUGUCCUUACUCUCUCAGGACUGAGGAUGGUCAUGAAAACCAUGGAUAGCAUCCUCAGAAAUGAUUUACCUAAGGGUGGAGCAGAAGAUUCUUCAUCCACAUCUGGGUGAGUGCUAGGCCCGCAUAGA